RNAcentral lists this long non-coding RNA (834 nucleotides) under Hordeum vulgare. RNAcentral describes it as "long non-coding RNA (HVUL_LNC007374)". The record is from RNAcentral. Lineage: Eukaryota; Viridiplantae; Streptophyta; Magnoliopsida; Poales; Poaceae.
CUAAAUCUUGUGCCCGAGAUUUGCUUAGGAAGAGAAAACAAUUCACUCAUGAAAACACGGAAUCAUGACCACUCAAUUGCAUGCGCAAACAAGAUAAUCAUAUAGCACACCCUCACUCAUAUGUAGGUGCAAACAAUGCAAUCAAAUAGUACACUGCUGCACAGCCAGCAUCAGGAAAACAUACUACUGGACUAACAUAUACUCUGAUGGCGGUUAACGAGAUACGGGCAAGGGGUUCCCGAGAAAAUCUUCCCGAUCGGGGAAACACAUUCUACUUCUCCUAGAAGGAGUCUGGAGAACGUGUCCCCUUUUUGUCUGACAACAACCGCCCACCAAUGGAAAAUAUGGGAAAAAAUUCCAAUAGAAGGAGUGUGGAAUUUAUCCACCCAUUGAUGGAUCAACACCCUUUGCGAAGACCUGAAGGACAAGGGAUGGUUACACUAGGUCUGCUCUAUACUGGGCUACGAGGCAACAUGAUUACCUUUGUGGGGUUGUAUCUAGAAUUUCUGAAUGAAUCCCAAUGGGUAUUCAUGGGGAGGACUGGCUCACCGUAGCACACUUGGUGAGAAGUGCUAGGCGCGGUCAUGGUUGGUCUCGCUAGGUACCUCGUUUAGGGACACACCGUAUGACACUGGUGUGUCUUGGUUCAUCGGUAUGGAAACUCGGGUAUCAACUCCCAAGUGACACAUCACUCUGUUAGCUAGCUUGGUGGCUGGGUGGUCACGCCCAAAAAUUUAUUCAAAGGCCGCACGGACUGCUCUACACAAUUCUACCUUUAAAAACAAAGGCGUGCACGCAUCCUGCAAUUUUAUUUAAAACAGGGUCUAUUACAAC